This 548-nucleotide ribosomal RNA is filed under the name Bacillus amyloliquefaciens. RNAcentral describes it as "partial 23S ribosomal RNA". It matches the Rfam family "Bacterial large subunit ribosomal RNA", at positions 2378 to 2925 of the family's 2925-position model. Lineage: Bacteria; Bacillati; Bacillota; Bacilli; Caryophanales; Bacillaceae. The record is from RNAcentral.
AGACCUACAAGUCGAGCAGGGACGAAAGUCGGGCUUAGUGAUCCGGUGGUUCCGCAUGGAAGGGCCAUCGCUCAACGGAUAAAAGCUACCCCGGGGAUAACAGGCUUAUCUCCCCCAAGAGUCCACAUCGACGGGGAGGUUUGGCACCUCGAUGUCGGCUCAUCGCAUCCUGGGGCUGUAGUCGGUCCCAAGGGUUGGGCUGUUCGCCCAUUAAAGCGGUACGCGAGCUGGGUUCAGAACGUCGUGAGACAGUUCGGUCCCUAUCCGUCGCGGGCGCAGGAAAUUUGAGAGGAGCUGUCCUUAGUACGAGAGGACCGGGAUGGACGCACCGCUGGUGUACCAGUUGUUCUGCCAAGGGCAUCGCUGGGUAGCUAUGUGCGGACGGGAUAAGUGCUGAAAGCAUCUAAGCAUGAAGCCCCCCUCAAGAUGAGAUUUCCCAUUCCGCAAGGAAGUAAGAUCCCUGAAAGAUGAUCAGGUUGAUAGGUCUGAGGUGGAAGUGUGGCGACACAUGGAGCUGACAGAUACUAAUCGAUCGAGGACUUAACCAA